AUUUGUUCGUUGCUUUUAUAUCCUUAAAAAAUAUUUCUUUAUAUAUUUAAUACACAAUUACACUAUUUUUUCCUCACUUUUUUACUCAAUCAUAAUUUUUUUUUUUUUUCUCAAUUUUUUCCUUAUAACUAGGUCAUUUUUAACAAGAAAAUAACUGCAAAAUGAAUUAUGAACAUUCUAAACGUGAACACAAUAACUGCGAGCACAUAAAUUACGAAAACACCAAAUCCGAGAACACCGAUUGUGGUCUCACCGAUUGUGGUCUCACCGAUUAUGGUCUCACACAUAACAAAAUGAGCCUGUUUUGUAAAGAAUUUGACAUGAAUUACGUCAUAGAGCAACACAAAAAAAAUUUUAAACAAAGAAAAUACAUAUUAAGUAAUAUUAACAGUGAAAUAUUAAAUACGCAAAGAAACAAAAGAAAUUUAGAUAAAUAUGAAAAGAGCUUAAUUGAUAAGCAGGCCCAAAUUAUAAUUCAAACAAAAUUUAAUUAUAAAAAAUUGAAUAAUAUAAAUGAUAUAAAAUACUACUUACCAUAUUGUAUACAACCCAAAACAAACAACACUGAUGCAUGUCUAUCAGAAAAUAUAUACCAAAAAAAUAGGAAAAAACAAAACAUUCUUAGAGAAUUAAAGAUAAAGAAGAAACUAACUGAAUAUAAAAUUAAUCACUUCUUGAAAAAAUACACAGGUUUAUUUUUUGGCUCUAAAUUUAAAGCUUUACAUUUAAAACGGUAUAUUUUUUUAUCCUACACUUUUUACUUAAUUCAUUUUACUUUUUUUCUUUUUUUUUUUUUUUUUUUUAUAUAUUUAUUAGGGAAAAUCCAAAAAAAUAAUAUUCUAUAUAAAGAACUAUCUAAAUUAUAUAACGAGCAAAGUCCAGUUGAAAUCUAUGUCAAAAAUAAGAAAAACAACAAAAUAAAAAUUGAUGUAGUAGUUGGGCAUGUUACUUUUUUUGACCCAAAUCUGAACCUAUUACUUGAAAGUGUUACAGUUGUAUACAAAAAAUAGAAACAAACAAAUGAACAUAUAAAUACAUAUUUAUAACUUUAUGUUUAGCUUAUAUUCUCCGUUAUAUUAAUAAAUCUUCAGCUUAUCAGGA
This 1101-nucleotide long non-coding RNA is filed under the name Piliocolobus tephrosceles (Ugandan red Colobus). RNAcentral's name for it is "lncRNA (ENSPTEG00000003266.1)". Lineage: Eukaryota; Metazoa; Chordata; Mammalia; Primates; Cercopithecidae. The record is from RNAcentral.